GACGAACGCUGGCGGCGUGCUUAACACAUGCAAGUCGAACGGAAAGGCCCUGCUUGCAGGGUACUCGAGUGGCGAACGGGUGAGUAACACGUGGGUGAUCUGCCCUGCACUUCGGGAUAAGCCUGGGAAACUGGGUCUAAUACCGGAUAGGAGCCAUUUUUAGUGUGAUGGUUGGAAAGUUUUUUCGGUGUAGGAUGAGCUCGCGGCCUAUCAGCUUGUUGGUGGGGUAAUGGCCUACCAAGGCGGCGACGGGUAGCCGGCCUGAGAGGGUGGACGGCCACAUUGGGACUGAGAUACGGCCCAGACUCCUACGGGAGGCAGCAGGGGGGAAGAUUGCACAAUGGGCGCAAGCCUGAUGCAGCGACGCCGCGUGGGGGAUGACGGCCUUCGGGUUGUAAACUCCUUUCGCUAGGGACGAAGCUUUUUGUGACGGUACCUAGAUAAGAAGCACCGGCUAACUACGUG
Molecule: ribosomal RNA, 465 nt
Filed under: uncultured bacterium
Lineage: Bacteria
Description: partial 16S ribosomal RNA
Rfam family: Bacterial small subunit ribosomal RNA
Source: RNAcentral